Molecule: ribosomal RNA, 234 nt
Filed under: Enterococcus faecium
Lineage: Bacteria; Bacillati; Bacillota; Bacilli; Lactobacillales; Enterococcaceae
Also listed under: 5 other names
Description: partial 16S ribosomal RNA
Rfam family: Bacterial small subunit ribosomal RNA
Source: RNAcentral
UUUUAUGAGAGUUUGAUCCUGGCUCAGGACGAACGCUGGCGGCGUGCCUAAUACAUGCAAGUCGUACGCUUCUUUUUCCACCGGAGCUUGCUCCACCGGAAAAAGAGGAGUGGCGAACGGGUGAGUAACACGUGGGUAACCUGCCCAUCAGAAGGGGAUAACACUUGGAAACAGGUGCUAAUACCGUAUAACAAUCGAAACCGCAUGGUUUUGAUUUGAAAGGCGCUUUCGGGU